UUAAGCGACUAAGCGUACACGGUGGAUGCCCUGGCAGUCAGAGGCGAUGAAGGACGUGCUAAUCUGCGAAAAGCGUCGGUAAGGUGAUAUGAACCGUUAUAACCGGCGAUGUCCGAAUGGGGAAACCCAGUGCAAUUCGUUGCACUAUCGUUAACUGAAUACAUAGGUUAACGAGGCGAACCGGGGGAACUGAAACAUCUAAGUACCCCGAGGAAAAGAAAUCAACCGAGAUUCCCCCAGUAGCGGCGAGCGAACGGGGAGCAGCCCAGAGUCUGAAUCAGCUUGUGUGUUAGUGGAACGGUCUGGAAAGUCCGACGGUACAGGGUGAUAGUCCCGUACACCAAAAUGCACAGGUUGUGAACUCGAAGAGUAGGGCGGGACACGUGGUAUCCUGUCUGAAUAUGGGGGGACCAUCCUCCAAGGCUAAAUACUCCUGACUGACCGAUAGUGAACCAGUACCGUGAGGGAAAGGCGAAAAGAACCCCGGCGAGGGGAGUGAAAAAGAACCUGAAACCGUGUACGUACAAGCAGUGGGAGCACCUUCGGGUGUGACUGCGUACCUUUUGUAUAAUGGGUCAGCGACUUAUAUUCUGUAGCAAGGUUAACCGUAUAGGGGAGCCGCAGGGAAACCGAGUCUUAACUGGGCGUUAAGUUGCAGGGUAUAGACCCGAAACCCGGUGAUCUAGCCAUGGGCAGGUUGAAGGUUGGGUAACACUAACUGGAGGACCGAACCGACUAAUGUUGAAAAAUUAGCGGAUGACUUGUGGCUGGGGGUGAAAGGCCAAUCAAACCGGGAGAUAGCUGGUUCUCCCCGAAAGCUAUUUAGGUAGCGCCUCGUGAAUUCAUCUUCGGGGGUAGAGCACUGUUUCGGCUAGGGGGUCAUCCCGACUUACCAACCCGAUGCAAACUACGAAUACCGAAGAAUGUUAUCACGGGAGACACACGGCGGGUGCUAACGUCCGUCGUGAAGAGGGAAACAACCCAGACCGCCAGCUAAGGUCCCAAAGUCAUGGUUAAGUGGGAAACGAUGUGGGAAGGCACAGACAGCCAGGAUGUUGGCUUAGAAGCAGCCAUCAUUUAAAGAAAGCGUAAUAGCUCACUGGUCGAGUCGGCCUGCGCGGAAGAUGUAACGGGGCUAAACCAUGCACCGAAGCUGCGGCAGCGACACUAUGUGUUGUUGGGUAGGGGAGCGUUCUGUAAGCCUGCGAAGGUGACCUGUGAGGGUUGCUGGAGGUAUCAGAAGUGCGAAUGCUGACAUAAGUAACGAUAAAGCGGGUGAAAAGCCCGCUCGCCGGAAGACCAAGGGUUCCUGUCCAACGUUAAUCGGGGCAGGGUGAGUCGACCCCUAAGGCGAGGCCGAAAGGCGUAGUCGAUGGGAAACAGGUUAAUAUUCCUGUACUUGGUGUUACUGCGAAGGGGGGACGGAGAAGGCUAUGUUAGCCGGGCGACGGUUGUCCCGGUUUAAGCAUGUAGGCUGGUUAUCCAGGCAAAUCCGGAUAAUCAAGGCUGAGGUGUGAUGACGAGGCACUACGGUGCUGAAGUAACAAAUGCCCUGCUUCCAGGAAAAGCCUCUAAGCAUCAGGUAACAUCAAAUCGUACCCCAAACCGACACAGGUGGUCAGGUAGAGAAUACCAAGGCGCUUGAGAGAACUCGGGUGAAGGAACUAGGCAAAAUGGUGCCGUAACUUCGGGAGAAGGCACGCUGGUGUGUAGGUGAAGUCCCUGCGGAUGGAGCUGAGACCAGUCGAAGAUACCAGCUGGCUGCAACUGUUUAUUAAAAACACAGCACUGUGCAAACACGAAAGUGGACGUAUACGGUGUGACGCCUGCCCGGUGCCGGAAGGUUAAUUGAUGGGGUUAUCCGUAAGGAGAAGCUCUUGAUCGAAGCCCCGGUAAACGGCGGCCGUAACUAUAACGGUCCUAAGGUAGCGAAAUUCCUUGUCGGGUAAGUUCCGACCUGCACGAAUGGCGUAAUGAUGGCCAGGCUGUCUCCACCCGAGACUCAGUGAAAUUGAACUCGCUGUGAAGAUGCAGUGUACCCGCGGCAAGACGGAAAGACCCCGUGAACCUUUACUAUAGCUUGACACUGAACAUUGAGCCUUGAUGUGUAGGAUAGGUGGGAGGCUUUGAAGCGUGGACGCCAGUCUGCGUGGAGCCAACCUUGAAAUACCACCCUUUAAUGUUUGAUGUUCUAACGUUGGCCCCUUACCGGGGUUGCGGACAGUGUCUGGUGGGUAGUUUGACUGGGGCGGUCUCCUCCCAAAGCGUAACGGAGGAGCACGAAGGUUAGCUAAUCCUGGUCGGACAUCAGGAGGUUAGUGCAAUGGCAUAAGCUAGCUUGACUGCGAGCGUGACGGCGCGAGCAGGUGCGAAAGCAGGUCAUAGUGAUCCGGUGGUUCUGAAUGGAAGGGCCAUCGCUCAACGGAUAAAAGGUACUCCGGGGAUAACAGGCUGAUACCGCCCAAGAGUUCAUAUCGACGGCGGUGUUUGGCACCUCGAUGUCGGCUCAUCACAUCCUGGGGCUGAAGUAGGUCCCAAGGGUAUGGCUGUUCGCCAUUUAAAGUGGUACGCGAGCUGGGUUUAGAACGUCGUGAGACAGUUCGGUCCCUAUCUGCCGUGGGCGCUGGAGAAUUGAGGGGGGCUGCUCCUAGUACGAGAGGACCGGAGUGGACGCAUCACUGGUGUUCGGGUUGUCAUGCCAAUGGCACUGCCCGGUAGCUAAAUGCGGAAGAGAUAAGUGCUGAAAGCAUCUAAGCACGAAACUUGCCCCGAGAUGAGUUCUCCCUGAGACUUUAAGUCUCCUGAAGGAACGUUAAAGACGAUGACGUUGAUAGGCCGGGUGUGUAAGCGCAGCGAUGCGUUGAGCUAACCGGUACUAAUGAACCGUGAGGCUUAACCUU
This 2900-nucleotide ribosomal RNA is filed under the name Klebsiella pneumoniae. Its description in RNAcentral is "bacterial LSU rRNA". It matches the Rfam family "Bacterial large subunit ribosomal RNA". Lineage: Bacteria; Pseudomonadati; Pseudomonadota; Gammaproteobacteria; Enterobacterales; Enterobacteriaceae. The record is from RNAcentral.